This 458-nucleotide ribosomal RNA is filed under the name Acinetobacter johnsonii. RNAcentral's name for it is "bacterial SSU rRNA". It matches the Rfam family "Bacterial small subunit ribosomal RNA", at positions 250 to 699 of the family's 1533-position model. The record is from RNAcentral. Lineage: Bacteria; Pseudomonadati; Pseudomonadota; Gammaproteobacteria; Moraxellales; Moraxellaceae.
UGGUGGGGUAAAGGCCUACCAAGGCGACGAUCUGUAGCGGGUCUGAGAGGAUGAUCCGCCACACUGGGACUGAGACACGGCCCAGACUCCUACGGGAGGCAGCAGUGGGGAAUAUUGGACAAUGGGCGGAAGCCUGAUCCAGCCAUGCCGCGUGUGUGAAGAAGGCCUUUUGGUUGUAAAGCACUUUAAGCGAGGAGGAGGCUACUUGGAUUAAUACUCUAGGAUAGUGGACGUUACUCGCAGAAUAAGCACCGGCUAACUCUGUGCCAGCAGCCGCGGUAAUACAGAGGGUGCGAGCGUUAAUCGGAUUUACUGGGCGUAAAGCGUGCGUAGGCGGCUUCUUAAGUCGGAUGUGAAAUCCCUGAGCUUAACUUAGGAAUUGCAUUCGAUACUGGGAAGCUAGAGUAUGGGAGAGGAUGGUAGAAUUCCAGGUGUAGCGGUGAAAUGCGUAGAGAUCU